GACGAACGCUGGCGGCGUGCUUAACACAUGCAAGUCGAACGGAAAGGCCCUGCUUUUGUGGGGUGCUCGAGUGGCGAACGGGUGAGUAACACGUGAGUAACCUGCCCUUGACUUUGGGAUAACUUCAGGAAACUGGGGCUAAUACCGGAUAGGAGCUCCUGCUGCAUGGUGGGGGUUGGAAAGUUUCGGCGGUGGGGGAUGGACUCGCGGCUUAUCAGCUUGUUGGUGGGGGAGUGGCUUACCAAGGCUUUGACGGGUAGCCGGCCCGAGAGGGUGACCGGCCACAUUGGUACUGCGGUACGGCCCAGACUCCUACGUUAGGCAGCAGUGGGAAAUAUUGCACAAUGGGCGGAAGCCUGAUGCAGCAACGCCGCGUUCGGGAUGACGUCCUUCGGGUUGUAAACCGCUUUCGCCUGUGACGAAGCGUGAGUGACGGUAAUGGGUAAAGAAGCACCGGCUAACUACGUG
This 468-nucleotide ribosomal RNA is filed under the name uncultured bacterium. RNAcentral describes it as "partial 16S ribosomal RNA". It matches the Rfam family "Bacterial small subunit ribosomal RNA", at positions 28 to 507 of the family's 1533-position model. The record is from RNAcentral.